GGCUGGUCCAAGUGCAGUGAUGUUUACAACUAAUUGAUCACAAUCAGUUACAGGUUUCUUUGUUCCUUCUUCACUCCCACUGCUUCACUUGACUGGCCUUUA
Unclassified non-coding RNA from Cercocebus atys (sooty mangabey), 102 nucleotides. It matches the Rfam family "Y RNA". From Rfam's summary of the family: Y RNAs are components of the Ro ribonucleoprotein particle (Ro RNP), in association with Ro60 and La proteins. The record is from Ensembl. Lineage: Eukaryota; Metazoa; Chordata; Mammalia; Primates; Cercopithecidae.